This 253-nucleotide ribosomal RNA is filed under the name uncultured bacterium. RNAcentral describes it as "partial 16S ribosomal RNA". It matches the Rfam family "Bacterial small subunit ribosomal RNA", at positions 524 to 776 of the family's 1533-position model. The record is from RNAcentral.
GACGAACCGUGCGAACGUUGUUCGGAAUCACUGGGCUUAAAGGGCGCGUAGGCGGCCGAUCGCGUCCGGGGUGAAAGCUUCCGGCUUAACCGGAACAGUGCCCCGGGUACGGACCGGCUGGAGGGAGGUAGGGGCAGGUGGAACUUCCGGUGGAGCGGUGAAAUGCGUUGAGAUCGGAAGGAACGCCGGUGGCGAAAGCGACCUGCUGGACCUCUUCUGACGCUGAUGCGCGAAAGCUAGGGGAGCAAACGGG